GAUUGAACGCUGGCGGCAGGCCUAACACAUGCAAGUCGAGCGGUAACAGAAAGUAGCUUGCUACUUUGCUGACGAGCGGCGGACGGGUGAGUAAUGCCUGGGAAUAUGCCUUGAUGUGGGGGAUAACUAUUGGAAACGAUAGCUAAUACCGCAUAAUGUCUUCGGACCAAAGAGGGGGAUCUUCGGACCUCUCGCGUCAAGAUUAGCCCAGGUGAGAUUAGCUAGUUGGUGGGGUAAGAGCUCACCAAGGCGACGAUCUCUAGCUGGUCUGAGAGGAUGAUCAGCCACACUGGAACUGAGACACGGUCCAGACUCCUACGGGAGGCAGCAGUGGGGAAUAUUGCACAAUGGGCGAAAGCCUGAUGCAGCCAUGCCGCGUGUAUGAAGAAGGCCUUCGGGUUGUAAAGUACUUUCAGUCGUGAGGAAGGGUGUGCAGUUAAUAGCUGUAUAUCUUGACGUUAGCGACAGAAGAAGCACCGGCUAACUCCGUGCCAGCAGCCGCGGUAAUACGGAGGGUGCGAGCGUUAAUCGGAAUUACUGGGCGUAAAGCGCAUGCAGGUGGUUCAUUAAGUCAGAUGUGAAAGCCCGGGGCUCAACCUCGGAACCGCAUUUGAAACUGGUGAACUAGAGUGCUGUAGAGGGGGGUAGAAUUUCAGGUGUAGCGGUGAAAUGCGUAGAGAUCUGAAGGAAUACCAGUGGCGAAGGCGGCCCCCUGGACAGACACUGACACUCAGAUGCGAAAGCGUGGGGAGCAAACAGGAUUAGAU
Molecule: ribosomal RNA, 767 nt
Filed under: uncultured Aliivibrio sp.
Lineage: Bacteria; Pseudomonadati; Pseudomonadota; Gammaproteobacteria; Vibrionales; Vibrionaceae
Description: bacterial SSU rRNA
Rfam family: Bacterial small subunit ribosomal RNA
Source: RNAcentral